UCUCCGUUGGUGAACAAGCGGAGGGCUCAUUACAGAGUUAUCUAACUCCCAAACCCAUGUUAACUUACCAUUUGUUGCCUCGGCAGAGCCUACCCGGUAACUGUUCGGAGAAGCUACCCUGUAGCUGCCCUGUAACGGCCUACCCUGUAACGCACUGCCGGUGGACUUUUAAACUCUUGUUAUUUUAUAGUAAUCUGAGCGUCGUAUUUUAAUAAGUCAAAACUUUCAACAACGGAUCUCUUGGUUCUGGCAUCGAUGAAGAACGCAGC
RNAcentral lists this unclassified non-coding RNA (269 nucleotides) under uncultured fungus. RNAcentral describes it as "sequence contains ITS1, 5.8S rRNA gene". The stretch from base 221 to 269 matches the Rfam family "5.8S ribosomal RNA", at positions 1 to 49 of the family's 154-position model. The record is from RNAcentral. Lineage: Eukaryota; Fungi.